Molecule: long non-coding RNA, 981 nt
Organism: Papaver somniferum (opium poppy)
Lineage: Eukaryota; Viridiplantae; Streptophyta; Magnoliopsida; Ranunculales; Papaveraceae
Exons: 2
Source: RefSeq, a predicted model, not a curated record
UUGUUAAUCAGUUUUGUGUUAGGCUGGUGCUAGUAUAAUCUGAUGAUGGGAACGGUUGGAUGAAUGUGUAGGAUUGGUAGAUUAUUGAUUUUCACUUGAAGGGAACUUGGGAUGCUAUUAGGGGUGAAACUGAAAUUCCUAAGAUGUCAAGUUAGAGGUGCCGGUGGUGAUGUGAUAGAGAUGCAGGUGAAGUUGUUAGUGGCCCAGUUGUGUUCAACUGGAGUUAGAGAUAGAUGUUUUGUGUUAUGCUGAGUGCAGAUGCAAUUGUUUUUGGGAUUGGUGUAUGUCAGAGCUGUGAUUAUAGUUUAGGCUUGUGGAUGUGGUACUUGAAGUUACAGUUCUGAAGAAUAGUGAUGUUAUAAUGAGAUGUAGUUGAAGUUAGUGUGGAUGUUGGGUUUUUGUAUAGUGACUGAUAAGAUAUUGAUAACUGGGGUUAUGAUUCUGUUUGAGUGAAGAUUUUGGGAAUUGGUUGUGAUGAACUGUGGUUUAAGGGUUAGACCGUGAUGAGCUGAGUCGAAUCAAUCUAAAGAAGGGGUUGAUUUCAAUUGGGGGAGAAAGUCUUUUGAGGUGAUGUUGAGUUAAGAAUUGUUAUGGAGGUGAACUGUAAUGAGUGCAGAUGAGAAUUGUGUUAGAGCGGAGUGUAUGGUUGUGGUAAUGGAGUUGAAAUGAACUUGGAGGUAAUGGAACUGAACUGUUGGUGUUGAUCGUGUUAAAGUAAUGAUGCUGCAUUGAACUGUUGGAAUGAGAAGUGUGAUGGUUUGGUACUGCUAAUGAAGGGUAUAUAGUUGUGAGUUGAAUUGGUGGUUUAGAUGACUUGUAUUGAUGAAGAUGAGGUUGGGCUUAGUUUAUUAGUGAUUAUAGAAUUGUAGAUUGUAUUCCUGUGAAAGCUUGGAAGCUUGCAACUACUACAAUUGCAGGUAAUCAAAGUUGUUGUUGUAAAUGAUUUAUGAAGUUUAAGUUAAGCUUAUGUAUUGUUGUGUU